Molecule: ribosomal RNA, 427 nt
Filed under: uncultured bacterium
Lineage: Bacteria
Description: partial 16S ribosomal RNA
Rfam family: Bacterial small subunit ribosomal RNA
Source: RNAcentral
UGGGGAAUAUUGCACAAUGGGCGCAAGCCUGAUGCAGCCAUGCCGCGUGUAUGAAGAAGGCCUUCGGGUUGUAAAGUACUUCCAGCGGGGAGGAAGGUGUUGAGGUUAAUAACCUCAGCAAUUGACGUUACCCGCAGAAGAAGCACCGGCUAACUCCGUGCCAGCAGCCGCGGUAAUACGGAGGGUGCAAGCGUUAAUCGGAAUUACUGGGCGUAAAGCGCACGCAGGCGGUCUGUCAAGUCGGAUGUGAAAUCCCCGGGCUCAACCUGGGAACUGCAUUCGAAACUGGCAGGCUAGAGUCUUGUAGAGGGGGGUAGAAUUCCAGGUGUAGCGGUGAAAUGCGUAGAGAUCUGGAGGAAUACCGGUGGCGAAGGCGGCCCCCUGGACAAAGACUGACGCUCAGGUGCGAAAGCGUGGGGAGCAAACA